AACGAACGCUGGCGGCAUGCCUAACACAUGCAAGUCGAACGAGACCUUCGGGUCUAGUGGCGCACGGGUGCGUAACGCGUGGGAAUCUGCCCUUGGGUUCGGAAUAACUCGCCGAAAGGCGUGCUAAUACCGGAUGAUGUCGAAAGACCAAAGAUUUAUCGCCCAAGGAUGAGCCCGCGUAGGAUUAGCUAGUUGGUGAGGUAAAAGCUCACCAAGGCGACGAUCCUUAGCUGGUCUGAGAGGAUGAUCAGCCACACUGGGACUGAGACACGGCCCAGACUCCUACGGGAGGCAGCAGUGGGGAAUAUUGGACAAUGGGCGAAAGCCUGAUCCAGCAAUGCCGCGUGAGUGAUGAAGGCCUUAGGGUUGUAAAGCUCUUUUACCCGGGAUGAUAAUGACAGUACCGGGAGAAUAAGCCCCGGCUAACUCCGUG
This 433-nucleotide ribosomal RNA is filed under the name uncultured bacterium. RNAcentral's name for it is "bacterial SSU rRNA". It matches the Rfam family "Bacterial small subunit ribosomal RNA", at positions 29 to 507 of the family's 1533-position model. The record is from RNAcentral.